Long non-coding RNA from Bufo bufo (common toad), 176 nucleotides. RefSeq lists it as uncharacterized. The transcript has 4 exons. The record is from RefSeq and is a predicted model, not a curated record. NCBI's taxonomy places the organism in Eukaryota, Metazoa, Chordata, Amphibia, Anura, Bufonidae.
CAGGCAGAGCUGAGUGCCACGGGACACCAGGUUCUGCAUUGGGGAAGCUUCCAAUAUUGCCCUCGGCUCAUCUGCAUGAGCAGGGUAAACCAAGACCUCCUGGGCCAGAAUGGAAUCACGGCUAUUAAUGAGGCUUGGUCCUGCCGAAUCUUCAUCAAUACCCUGGGUAUCAUGGC